This 301-nucleotide ribosomal RNA is filed under the name uncultured bacterium. Its description in RNAcentral is "partial 16S ribosomal RNA". It matches the Rfam family "Bacterial small subunit ribosomal RNA", at positions 509 to 809 of the family's 1533-position model. The record is from RNAcentral.
CAGCAGCCGCGGGAACACGGAGGAUCCAAGCGUUAUCCGGAAUCAUUGGGUUUAAAGGGUCCGUAGGCGGUCUUGUAAGUCAGUGGUGAAAGCCCAUCGCUCAACGGUGGAACGGCCAUUGAUACUGCAGGACUUGAAUUAUUGGGAAGUAACUAGAAUAUGUAGUGUAGCGGUGAAAUGCUUAGAGAUUACAUGGAAUACCAAUUGCGAAGGCAGGUUACUACCAAUUGAUUGACGCUGAUGGACGAAAGCGUGGGUAGCGAACAGGAUUAGAUACCCCCGUAGUCCCUGUCUCUUAUAA